The sequence is a transfer RNA, 72 nucleotides long. It matches the Rfam family "tRNA". Rfam says of the family: Transfer RNA (tRNA) molecules are approximately 80 nucleotides in length. Their secondary structure includes four short double-helical elements and three loops (D, anti-codon, and T loops). Further hydrogen bonds mediate the characteristic L-shaped molecular structure. tRNAs have two regions of fundamental functional importance: the anti-codon, which is responsible for specific mRNA codon recognition, and the 3' end, to which the tRNAs corresponding amino acid is attached (by aminoacyl-tRNA synthetases). tRNAs cope with the degeneracy of the genetic code in two manners: having more than one tRNA (with a specific anti-codon) for a particular amino acid; and 'wobble' base-pairing, i.e. permitting non-standard base-pairing at the 3rd anti-codon position.
GGGCCGGUAGAUCAACGGUAGAUCGCCGCUCUUGCAAAGCGGAGGCUCCGGGUUCGAAUCCCGGCCGGUCCA